UAGUGUCGAACUGGCCGGGUGAAAUUUACAAAUAAGAGGCAAUUUACGGAAUGAAGUGCAUAUUUGAACUUCUAAAUAAUAAUAAUUGCUAGAAUUGAAGUUUCAGCGGCUAGAAUUGAGUUUCACUUAUUUAAAAAAAACAGUUGAGUAGCCUUGAUCUUGAUAGUAUGACGUAAUGACUUGCAGGAGCGUAUACAUGCUUCCUCUGAGCUAGCUUAAAGUGGGGUUGUCAUUUUAGCAGGGGCCUCAGGAAAACUGGAAUAGUGAAGAAACGGUGUGUGGUUACAGACUUUUGUAUGAGGUUUUGAAAGUUAGGUAGGCGACUCUAGGCCGAGGAGCUCAGAAAACUGUUUGCCCCCAAUAUAUGGUCUCAACAAAUAUCGUCAGUUAGGAAAUUAAGAACAUAUGAUAUGUUACAUUUAAAACGGCGUUUACGCAAGAAAAUUACAUUAAGUUAAAUUUGAACCGUCAUGAAUGAUCAAUGCUUGCACAAUUUCGUAUAGGUAUACUGCCAUUGAGAAUUGAAACAGGGCGAUACGUUGGAGAAGAAACAGAAAAUAGACUGUGUACAUUGUCACAUGAUUGUGUAAUAUGAACUUAGUAGAAAAUGAGGUUCAUUUUUUAGUUGACUGUGUUUUUUACGAAGAAUUUAGGGAUCAGUGGUCAGACAUACAGUUCGUCCAAAAGAACAGUAAUGAUAAGCUUAGAACAUAAGUGAUGUCAUAUCGUCGAAAGGUUGCUAGGUAUCUGGCGAAGGCCUAUUCCAAAAGACAAAGUGCACUUUUUAAACGGUGAAGCUUGCGAUACUAUUGAUACUAUAUAAUUGUAAUAUGCAUCAUUUCAAACAAUAAGAAUUAUUUAUGUGUGGUAAAAUUUUUACAUAUAAUAAAUUUAAAACUGUUUUAAUCAUCAAAAUAUCCACAUAUUUGCUCUGAGUUAAUAUCAUAUCUUAUUUCAUAUUAUUCCCAAUUUUUAGAUCAUGUUAUAAAUGUGUAACAAGUUAACAGGUGACAUAUAGGCCCAUUGGGCCAGGUGUUGUGAAUGUUGAUCAUUUAUUGUAAUAUGUAUGUACUGUAUAUAACACAUGUCACGUUAAUAAACAAUUUACUUACUUAC
This is a long non-coding RNA of Mercenaria mercenaria, 1116 nucleotides long. RefSeq lists it as uncharacterized. The record is from RefSeq and is a predicted model, not a curated record. The transcript has 2 exons. Lineage: Eukaryota; Metazoa; Mollusca; Bivalvia; Venerida; Veneridae.